ACUACAUCUUCAGCAGAGUCUGAAAUGUAGU
Regulatory RNA element from Homo sapiens (human), 31 nucleotides. It matches the Rfam family "Iron response element II". From Rfam's summary of the family: IRE, TFRC, SLC40A1, SDHB, SLC11A2, CDC42BPA, ACO2, ALAS2_H.SAPIENS, CDC14A, EPAS1, ALAS2, qoxD, Hao1, NDUFS1, transferrin, Aconitate. NCBI's taxonomy places the organism in Eukaryota, Metazoa, Chordata, Mammalia, Primates, Hominidae. The record is from Rfam.